Molecule: ribosomal RNA, 600 nt
Filed under: Escherichia coli
Lineage: Bacteria; Pseudomonadati; Pseudomonadota; Gammaproteobacteria; Enterobacterales; Enterobacteriaceae
Description: bacterial SSU rRNA
Rfam family: Bacterial small subunit ribosomal RNA
Source: RNAcentral
GGGGGCGACUACCAUGCAAGUCGAACGGUAACAGGAAGCAGCUUGCUUUUUUGCUGACGAGUGGCGGACGGGUGAGUAAUGUCUGGGAAACUGCCUGAUGGAGGGGGAUAACUACUGGAAACGGUAGCUAAUACCGCAUAACGUCGCAAGACCAAAGAGGGGGACCUUCGGGCCUCUUGCCAUCGGAUGUGCCCAGAUGGGAUUAGCUAGUAGGUGGGGUAACGGCUCACCUAGGCGACGAUCCCUAGCUGGUCUGAGAGGAUGACCAGCCACACUGGAACUGAGACACGGUCCAGACUCCUACGGGAGGCAGCAGUGGGGAAUAUUGCACAAUGGGCGCAAGCCUGAUGCAGCCAUGCCGCGUGUAUGAAGAAGGCCUUCGGGUUGUAAAGUACUUUCAGCGGGGAGGAAGGGAGUAAAGUUAAUACCUUUGCUCAUUGACGUUACCCGCAGAAGAAGCACCGGCUAACUCCGUGCCAGCAGCCGCGGUAAUACGGAGGGUGCAAGCGUUAAUCGGAAUUACUGGGCGUAAAGCGCACGCAGGCGGUUUGUUAAGUCAGAUGUGAAAUCCCCGGGCUCAACCUGGGAACUGCAUCUGAU